Molecule: ribosomal RNA, 549 nt
Filed under: uncultured bacterium
Lineage: Bacteria
Description: bacterial SSU rRNA
Rfam family: Bacterial small subunit ribosomal RNA
Source: RNAcentral
UGGGGAAUAUUGGACAAUGGGCGCAAGCCUGAUCCAGCCAUACCGCGUGGGUGAAGAAGGCCUUCGGGUUGUAAAGCCCUUUUGUUGGGAAAGAAAUCCAGCUGGCUAAUACCCGGUUGGGAUGACGGUACCCAAAGAAUAAGCACCGGCUAACUUCGUGCCAGCAGCCGCGGUAAUACGAAGGGUGCAAGCGUUACUCGGAAUUACUGGGCGUAAAGCGUGCGUAGGUGGUCGUUUAAGUCCGUUGUGAAAGCCCUGGGCUCAACCUGGGAACUGCAGUGGAUACUGGGCGACUAGAAUGUGGUAGAGGGUAGCGGAAUUCCUGGUGUAGCAGUGAAAUGCGUAGAGAUCAGGAGGAACAUCCAUGGCGAAGGCAGCUACCUGGACCAACACUGACACUGAGGCACGAAAGCGUGGGGAGCAAACAGGAUUAGAUACCCUGGUAGUCCACGCCCUAAACGAUGCGAACUGGAUGUUGGGUGCAAUUUGGCACGCAGUAUCGAAGCUAACGCGUUAAGUUCGCCGCCUGGGGAGUACGGUCGCAAGACU